This is a long non-coding RNA of Pipra filicauda (Wire-tailed manakin), 3812 nucleotides long. RefSeq lists it as uncharacterized. Lineage: Eukaryota; Metazoa; Chordata; Aves; Passeriformes; Pipridae. The transcript has 3 exons. The record is from RefSeq and is a predicted model, not a curated record.
AGCCCUUCCCAAAUCUUCACGAAGCCUAGCCAUGAUGAUAUAGCUCUGCUUUUAGAGACUUGUAAUACAUGGGGGUUUUGCCACCGUAAAUCGGACAACACUGUCAGAAGAUCUUGUCCUGAUUCUCUACCUGUAAAAUCCUAAAAAUUCCACUGAUCACAGACAGAGUUAUGGUCAUCUGUAGAUACAGUCACGUGAUGCAAUAAUGAACAAAUAAUAUGAAUAUCAUAAAGAUUUUGGGACAGAAAACAACUGGAAAGCCUUGAGGAAAUCCAAGCACCUGAGGAAUCUACGUAAGGAAGAUACCUCAUCCUUCUGGAAACUUGUUAAAAAGGACUAAGAGAAAGGCCUUUUUUACUGACUUAGCACAGCCCAGUGCCCAGUACUUUCCAAGUUUUUUGGAAAAUGAAGGUGAUUUUGUCUCAUUUUGUUCCUCUUGCUCUUCUCUUUGUAUGAUUAUCAUUCAGGACUCGGUCAGCUAUUCAAUAAGUUCACCAGUGCAGCUGGCUUCAGAAGAAGAUGUUUCCUAUUCUUUGCGUUCAUAGGCUCAUAAAUCCAGCCUGCUGAGAAUAUUAAAAGGAGAAAAAUAUUCAGGCAGGAAUAAAGCAUAUCAGAAAGAGAGAGUGAAUGUAACUGGGGAAACAUUUACUCAAAAUUACAUAUUAAGCAAUUUGCUCUUUAAUACUGAAGGAAUAUAUAGAGAAAAUAUAUUAACUGUACUUACCAAGAGCCCUCUGAAUCCAUCAAAUGCUGUUAAAACUAGCCAUUUUUGAACAAGAAGAACAUUCUGUAUACCAUGUAUUGUUUUCAAAAGUUAUUUUUAGUGCAGUAAAUAUUAAAGAAUGUCAUUGUCCCUUGCAUGAGCUCUCACUCAUUUUUCAGGAAGCUUUGCCAGAGAUGCUUGACUUAAGAACCCAUUAAAAUGAAAAUGUACUCAGGAACCUUGCAGGAACAGUGCUUGAAGACAUGGGUGCCAAGCAUGCUUGGCAGCCUGGAAAGCUUACAGAGCUCUCUGAACAGGAAUGCCAUCACAUUAAAGAAUUAGCAUAGCCCCAGGCACCGGUCUUUUUUUUUUUUUUUCCAGUAGAUGUGAAUGACAUUUUGUAUCUGAGGCAGUGUUUAAAAUAUUCCUUACUCGCACAUAAGUUUUUUAUGACUACAUUAAAAAGCAAAAGGUUGGUUUGUUCCUGUUGACAUUUGUUCCUAUUCCUCUCUCUCACUGGGCACUACAUCUCAAAUAAAGCUUUGAUGUUCAUCUCGCCUUCCACAGCUUUCUCACUCUCUCCAAAUAUUACUACUGCCUCCUGCUCAGACUUCUUCUGCUAGGCAGAAUCUGUUCUGUCAUUCUUCCUAAAGUCUACCAGAUGCCACAAAUUCAGUAAACUCCCACAAAAAUCCCUGAAAGUCUUUUACCUUCUCAGUAGUGCCUCCAAGUUCACUCUUUGAAAAUGUAGAGAAAAUAUAUUAAUAAAUACAGAAAGAAUCUGAAUAUCAGUAUUGAGGAGCCUAAAAUGAACUUCUCUUUUCACUGACCCUAGUCUAUGAGAAUUGAAGUUGGGGAAAAUUGGAGAAAUAAUCACUCAGCAGCCUCAUCAAUCAAACCAGCAGCUUAGGCUGCUAAUUAUUCCCUGGUGCAGAUACCUGAGAAUUGAGAAUUACAAAUAUGUGGCUAUUCUGACCACUCACCAAGGAAACUCAGGUUAUUGAUUCCACUACGUGAAAAUAAUCCACCUAACUCUCAGUUUCUUUCUCUUGGGAAAUCUUCUUGCAUAAGGUUCUCUGACAAAGAACAUUUAACCAAAAAAAUAUAGUUGCUGAUGGCUAAGCUUCAUAUUAUCCUAAUGGACUCCAUUUUGCCAAUUGCUUUCUGUACAGAAAAAUAAAACAAAAAUAAAACUUGUCUUUUCUCCCCAUUAGUCAAAUUCUCUGAGUAGAAGCAGCUCAUACCUUUGUUCAUUAGGCUGCACACAGCCUGAAAGGCUGGGUCGGGAGGCUGCAGUUGUUUCUGGUUUCCUACAUCCAUGUGAUACUAUUUGAAAUUGCUCCAUCCAUCAGGCUGCUGCAGAUUGUUCUUUCAGUCUGCAUUAAUCACAGUGGACUAAUCUCACUGCACUGAUGGUGUGUACAUGGGACAAGAACAGUCAUGACCUGAGUUUGGUGGCUUGUUUCUCAAUGAAAAUCAGCACAAGUAGUGCCUGAACUCUCCAGUGUCUGGGGAUGGUUACUCUUAAGUGUUUUACAGAGACACGCCACGGGAAGAAGAAGGUAUCCUGUUUCCAUGUAAGAGCUUCCAACAGUUUGUCCCUGACAAAUUCCAGAUAUAGAUUUCCAUUUUAGAGACUGUGAACAGCUAAGAACAGAGAGAGCGAAUUAGGUCAAAGAGCUGCUAAGACAUUUUGAAGUGAGAUCUCAAAAAGCAUGAUAUUUAGCCUAGCUUGGUAAUUUCAUGUAGGGGUCAAAUACUAUCUCUAUGACUUCCCACCCACAAUUCAAAGUUUUGUUUAAUUUCUAUGUUAUAUUUCAGGAAGUACUGCCAAUUUUUUACCAAACUGUGUUCCAAUUUUCAGCAACUGCAUUUAGAUUUCUGGAGCUUAUUGUUAAGUGACUUUGGAAAGUUUGUAUCAAUGUUAUUAGCAUUAUUUAUCUUUUAAAGCAUGACUUCACUGCUAGUCCCUAAAAAUAUCUGUGCUAGAGGUAUUUUUUACCCUUGAUUGCAAUGGACGCCUGUUGAAAACUCUGAAUCUGGUAACAAAACUUUCAUGGCACAGAGCCUGAGAAUCCUCAAACAUCACUGCAGUCUUCAGCUUAAAUCCAUAAACACUCAGUAUAGACAGUUACAACAGAUUUUCACACUUUCAUAAAAAAGCGCAGUGCACAAUUUUGAUAUUUUUUUUAGAAAAGUCCUCAUUGCCUCACUGUUCUAAGGCCACUUUGGUACAAGGAUUUGUUAUCUUGGCUGACAAAUGCACUGAAGCCUAUAAGAAUCUCCUUUUUUUGCUCUAACAGGCAAAUUCCCUGUUUUCUGAGAAUCCUUUCUAGGAAGGCAGUGCUGAAUGUGUAUCAGACUUGAAAAGAAAGCCUAUCUAUGCUGCCAUUUUCGCUUUUUAUUUUUCUGAUUUGGAACUCAGCUCACAUCCAGCCCGAAGAAGCAGUUCUGCGUGUGGAAAAUGCUGCAGCUGGUUUCCUCCAGUGCUUCCCAUAUUCAUAGCGAGGGAGGCAGUGGUGGGCUUACACAAGAUUGGCUUAAAUGGGAAAUCAAUACUGGUUCCUCAGUUCCUACAAAAGAGCUGAACUGGGCUGGAUUGGCUCCAAGCAGAAAAAAAGGAGUUAAGUGGAAAAAACUGGCUGCCAGUGGGAUAGGUACUCUGCUGCAUACGAGGCUGUUUGGGUCUCUGCCACUGAACCCAUCACAAGAAGUCUGAGAUAACCUGGCUUACCUCCUACCAUCUGGUUUUCAAUGAAUGAUAAAUACUGGAAAAAUAAAAGUUGGAGGCUUUUUUUCCCUAGGCAUAUAUUAGCUUAUAAAUACAUAAAUGUUUCUGUUCAGCAUCAGUAGAAUUUGUACCUGAUACUGUACUAACCAGUUACAAAAGGGGUUGAAAACUUGUUCUGCAGAUGAAAAGUGAAAUCAUUGGUGUGAUUCCUUGUUCUACAGCUAAGGAGAAACAUGUGAUCUAAUUAGCAAUUCCAUCAGACGUUGCUCGGUGAUUGGAACUUAGUUUCGCAGGGUCUCACUUGACAAGACUUUCCAUUUAAUCUCUUGUAUUUAAAUUUUCUAUGAAAUAAAUCUCAAUAAAAUUCACAUUUCUGAA